GACGUAGGGGGCCAGCGUUGUUCGGAAUUACUGGGUGUAAAGGGUUCGUAGGCGGUGCGGCAAGUCGGGAGUGAAAUCUCUGGGCUUAACCCAGAGGCUGCUUCCGAAACUGCUGUGCUUGAGUGUGGGAGAGGCGCGUGGAAUUGCAGGUGUAGCGGUGAAAUGCGUAGAUAUCAGGAGGAACACCGGUGGCGAAGGCGGUUCUCUGGGCAUUACCUGACGCUGAGGAGCGAAAGUGUGGGGAGCGAACAGG
This 253-nucleotide ribosomal RNA is filed under the name uncultured bacterium. Its description in RNAcentral is "partial 16S ribosomal RNA". It matches the Rfam family "Bacterial small subunit ribosomal RNA", at positions 524 to 776 of the family's 1533-position model. The record is from RNAcentral.